This 317-nucleotide long non-coding RNA is filed under the name Setaria viridis. RNAcentral describes it as "long non-coding RNA (SVIR_LNC003124)". Lineage: Eukaryota; Viridiplantae; Streptophyta; Magnoliopsida; Poales; Poaceae. The record is from RNAcentral.
GAAGAGCUAUCCAAAACACUAGCACAAGUACCACGGUCCAAAGACUCACGCUCAACAGAAGAAGCCAACUCCCUGUAUAACCUGCAAAAACACAUCCAUCUAAAAAUAAGACUAAAAUAAUUGGAGACAAUCAUUGCGUGAUGAAUUAUGUACCCGAUAUAUGGCUCAACCUCUUCACAAUUGUGUAGCACAUACCAACUAGCUUGUCUAAUCAAAAUGAAGGAAUGAAGUCUUCGCUGCUCCAAGUACAUCAACAUUGCGCUGGAAAUAAGAUAAAGUGCCUUCUCAUAACAAAUCAGCAUUCUCCCUAUUCCUGC